CCUUGUUCGGCCUGGUUGUUAUG
RNAcentral lists this microRNA (23 nucleotides) under Magallana gigas (Pacific oyster). Its description in RNAcentral is "Mgi-Mir-67-P6_5p* (star (passenger))". Lineage: Eukaryota; Metazoa; Mollusca; Bivalvia; Ostreida; Ostreidae. The record is from RNAcentral.